Molecule: microRNA precursor, 112 nt
Filed under: Gossypium raimondii (Peruvian cotton)
Lineage: Eukaryota; Viridiplantae; Streptophyta; Magnoliopsida; Malvales; Malvaceae
Description: miR8677 stem-loop (gra-MIR8677)
Source: miRBase by way of RNAcentral
UUUUCUGGGCAAUGAAUCUAGGUUCUCUCUUGCUCCAUUUUUUCAUAUUUUCCUUGUGAAAAUAUGUCUUCAAGAGCGUAAGGGAGAACCUAGAUUCAUUACCCAGCAAAAG